RNAcentral lists this ribosomal RNA (793 nucleotides) under bacterium C23. Its description in RNAcentral is "bacterial SSU rRNA". It matches the Rfam family "Bacterial small subunit ribosomal RNA", at positions 10 to 785 of the family's 1533-position model. The record is from RNAcentral.
AGUUUGAUCCUGGCUCAGGACGAACGCUGGCGGCGUGCCUAAUACAUGCAAGUCGAGCGGAUCGAUGGGAGCUUGCUCCCUGAGAUCAGCGGCGGACGGGUGGGUAACACGUGGGUAACCUGCCUGUAAGACUGGGAUAACUCCGGGAAACCGGGGCUAAUACCGGAUAACACCUACCCCCGCAUGGGGGAAGGUUGAAAGGUGGCUUCGGCUAUCACUUACAGAUGGACCCGCGGCGCAUUAGCUAGUUGGUGAGGUAAUGGCUCACCAAGGCGACGAUGCGUAGCCGACCUGAGAGGGUGAUCGGCCACACUGGGACUGAGACACGGCCCAGACUCCUACGGGAGGCAGCAGUAGGGAAUCUUCCGCAAUGGACGAAAGUCUGACGGAGCAACGCCGCGUGAGUGAAGAAGGUUUUCGGAUCGUAAAACUCUGUUGUUAGGGAAGAACAAGUGCCGUUCGAAUAGGGCGGCGCCUUGACGGUACCUAACCAGAAAGCCACGGCUAACUACGUGCCAGCAGCCGCGGUAAUACGUAGGUGGCAAGCGUUGUCCGGAAUUAUUGGGCGUAAAGCGCGCGCAGGUGGUUUCUUAAGUCUGAUGUGAAAGCCCACGGCUCAACCGUGGAGGGUCAUUGGAAACUGGGGAACUUGAGUGCAGAAGAGGAAAGUGGAAUUCCAAGUGUAGCGGUGAAAUGCGUAGAUAUUUGGAGGAACACCAGUGGCGAAGGCGACUUUCUGGUCUGUAACUGACACUGAGGCGCGAAAGCGUGGGGAGCAAACAGGAUUAGAUAC